This is an RNA transcript of Entelurus aequoreus (snake pipefish), 748 nucleotides long. RefSeq lists it as uncharacterized. Lineage: Eukaryota; Metazoa; Chordata; Actinopteri; Syngnathiformes; Syngnathidae. The record is from RefSeq and is a predicted model, not a curated record. The transcript has 3 exons.
AAGAUGAGGGGAAAAAAUAUAUUUUUUGUUUUAAUAUGGUUUCUGUAGGAGGACAAACAUGACACUAAUUGUUAUAACACACUGUUUAUAUUAAACAUGCUUCACUGAUUCGAGUAUUUGGCGAGCGCCGUUUUGUCCUACUAAUUUUGGCGGUCCUUGAACUCACCUUUGUUUGUUUCCAUGUAUAACUUUCUCCGGCUUUCUAGGACGUGUUUUAUGCCACUUCUUUUUCUGUCUCAUUUUGUCCACCCACCUGUUAACGUUGUGCGUGAAGGCACAAAGGGCGCACCCAAGUGCGCAUUCAUCUGUGCGCUGCGCUGGGCGCACCUCCAAACAAGCUACUGCGCGCACCACUCCGGCUGCAGCAAGCAGCUGCUUUCCAUCAGCACUCAACACACCUGUCGCUGAUGAGCUCCCUCGGCUUCUUAAGCCAGUGCAGACCGGCGUUCCGGGCCACAACUUAGCGACUUGUUCCUGUACACAGCAUUCCUCCGUUCCCGCGUCACCAGAUGUGUGUCUCGUCUCCCCGUAUUCCCUCCGGUUCCCUGGCUGCCUCUUGGAUCUCGACCUCCCGCCUGGACACAGACUUUGGCGCCUUGCCCCUGCCCUUGACCUCAUGCCUGCCCACAGACCUCCGAGCCUGCCUUGCCCCUCUUGGUCUUCCGCACCUCGCUCAACACUUCCGGUAACACUCUACAGAUGCUCGCUACACAAAAGUCACAAACAUACACAUUUUGGAUUAGUUUCA